GAUGAACGCUGGCGGCGUGCCUAAUACAUGCAAGUCGAGCGAAGCGGGGACGGGGGAGUAACACGUGGGUAACAUCCUAUAAGACGGGGAUAAAUUCGGGAAACCGGAGCUAAAACGGAUAAUUAUAGCUGGAUCCGGUCGGCAUUAGGUAGUUGGUAAGGUAACGGCUUACCAAGGCAACGAUGCAUAGCCGACCUGAGAGGAUGAUCGGCCACACUGGAACUGAGACACGGUCCAGACUCCUACGGGAGGCAGCAGUGGGGAAUCUUCCGCAAUGGGCGAAAGCCUGACGCAGCCACGCCGCGUGAGUGAUGAAGGUCUUCGGAUCGUAAAACACUGUUAUUAGGGAAGCGGUACCUGAUCAGAAAGCAACGGCUAACUACGUGCCAGCAGCCGCGGUAAUAC
This 405-nucleotide ribosomal RNA is filed under the name uncultured bacterium. RNAcentral describes it as "partial 16S ribosomal RNA". It matches the Rfam family "Bacterial small subunit ribosomal RNA", at positions 28 to 526 of the family's 1533-position model. The record is from RNAcentral.